AGUGAACGCUGGCGGCAUGCCUAAUACAUGCCAGUCGAACGGCAGCACAGUAAGAGUUUGCCCUUACGGGUGGCGAGUGGCGGACGGGUGAGGCAUACAUCGGAAUCUACUUAUACGUGGGGGAUAACGUAGGGAAACUUACGCUAAUACCGCAUACAACCUACGGCUGAAAGCAGGGGUUCAUCGGAUCUUUCGCGUUACAAUAAGACGAUGUCGGAUUAGCUAGUUGGCGGGGUAAAGGCCCACCAAGGCGACGAUCCGUAGCCGACCUGAGAGGAUGAUCGGCCACACUGGAACUGAGACACGGUCCAGACUCCUACGGGAGGCAGCAGUAGGGAAUAUUGGGCAAUGGGCGAAAGCCUGAUGGAGCAAUGCCGCGUGAGUGAAGAAGGCCUUCGGGUUGUAAAGCCCUGUUGUUAGGGAAGAAAAGCAGCGUAUUAAUACCCCGCUGUUCUGACGGUACCCAAACAGUAAGCCCCGGCUAACUUCGUG
This 492-nucleotide ribosomal RNA is filed under the name uncultured bacterium. Its description in RNAcentral is "partial 16S ribosomal RNA". It matches the Rfam family "Bacterial small subunit ribosomal RNA", at positions 29 to 507 of the family's 1533-position model. The record is from RNAcentral.